Molecule: small nuclear RNA, 102 nt
Filed under: Marmota marmota marmota (Alpine marmot)
Lineage: Eukaryota; Metazoa; Chordata; Mammalia; Rodentia; Sciuridae
Source: RNAcentral
UUGCUUCAGCAGCAAACAUACUAAAAUUGGAAUAUACAGAGAAGAUUAGCAUGGCCCCUGUGCAAGAAUGACAUGCAAAUUCAUGAAGCAUUCAAUAUUUUU